This 389-nucleotide ribosomal RNA is filed under the name uncultured bacterium. Its description in RNAcentral is "bacterial SSU rRNA". It matches the Rfam family "Bacterial small subunit ribosomal RNA", at positions 30 to 417 of the family's 1533-position model. The record is from RNAcentral.
AUUGAACGCUGGCGGCAUGCCUUACACAUGCAAGUCGAACGGCAGCACGGGAGCUUGCUCCUGGUGGCGAGUGGCGAACGGGUGAGUAAUACAUCGGAACGUACCCUGAAGUGGGGGAUAACGUAGCGAAAGUUACGCUAAUACCGCAUAUUCUGUGAGCAGGAAAGAGGGGGAUCGCAAGACCUCUUGCUUUAGGAGCGGCCGAUGUCGGAUUAGCUAGUUGGUGAGGUAAAGGCUCACCAAGGCGACGAUCCGUAGCGGGUCUGAGAGGAUGAUCCGCCACACUGGGACUGAGACACGGCCCAGACUCCUACGGGAGGCAGCAGUGGGGAAUUUUGGACAAUGGGCGAAAGCCUGAUCCAGCCAUGCCGCGUGAGUGAAGAAGGCCU